GACGAACGCUGGCGGCGUGCUUAACACAUGCAAGUCGAGCGGUAAGGCCCUUUCGGGGGUACACGAGCGGCGAACGGGUGAGUAACACGUGGGUGACCUGCCCUUAGCUCUGGGAUAAGCCUGGGAAACUGGGUCUAAUACUGGAUAUGACUCCACGGCGCAUGUUGUGGGGUGGAAAGCCUUGUGCGGCUGGGGAUGGGCCCGCGGCCUAUCAGCUUGUUGGUGGGGUGAUGGCCUACCAAGGCGA
RNAcentral lists this ribosomal RNA (247 nucleotides) under uncultured Actinomycetes bacterium. RNAcentral's name for it is "uncultured actinobacterium partial 16S ribosomal RNA". It matches the Rfam family "Bacterial small subunit ribosomal RNA", at positions 28 to 276 of the family's 1533-position model. Lineage: Bacteria; Bacillati; Actinomycetota; Actinomycetes. The record is from RNAcentral.